This 492-nucleotide ribosomal RNA is filed under the name uncultured bacterium. Its description in RNAcentral is "partial 16S ribosomal RNA". It matches the Rfam family "Bacterial small subunit ribosomal RNA", at positions 28 to 507 of the family's 1533-position model. The record is from RNAcentral.
GACGAACGCUGGCGGCGUGCUUAACACAUGCAAGUGGAGCGACGAACCAGGGCUUGCCCUGGGGCAGAGCCGCGAACGGGUGAGUAACACGUGGGUAACGUGCCCCGAUGACUGGGACAACCCGGGGAAACCCGGGCUAAUACCGGAUGUGCCCCCUCACAUCAGUGAGGUGUGUAAAGGAAGCUUCGGCCUCCGCAUCGGGAUCGGCCCGCGGCCCAUUAGCUUGUUGGUGAGGUAACGGCUCACCAAGGCUGCGAUGGGUAGCUGGUCUGAGAGGACGAUCAGCCACACUGGGACUGAGACACGGCCCAGACUCCUACGGGAGGCAGCAGUGGGGAAUCUUGCGCAAUGCGCGAAAGCGUGACGCAGCAACGCCGCGUGGGGGAAGACGGCCUUCGGGUUGUAAACCCCUUUCAGUUGGGACGAAGGUCGGGCGGUUAACAGCCGUUCCGGCUGGCGGUACCUUCACAAGAAGCCCCGGCUAACUACGUG